CGGGGCGCAGACAGGCGUGGGGCGCGGCCCCGGGCGGCCACCGAGGAGGGGCACUGGCCUCCAGAGCCUGUGGCCAAGGCGGGCCCGCGGGCGGUGACGGAGCAGGGAUCGGCGCCUCUGUGCUCGGACUGGAGACCAGGUCUCUAGGGCGGCGACGUGUGUGCCAGCCCCCGAAGGCCGGGCGCCAGACGGUGCUCAGAGCGAUAAGACAUGGUCCGGUGUGACGAGGAGGACAGCAAAGCCGUCCGGCCUUCCUUGACAUCUCGGCUGGACCCGUGGGAGCAGAGCGCCCGCCAGGUCUCUGUCCCUCCGCUUUCCGGAAGGAGCCGACAUAACCGCUGCUCUCUGGACCUCUAGAACCCUCGACAUGACAAGAAAUGGUGCUACCCAGCUCAUGCCUGGGCCUUGGACCCCGGACUUCUUCAAGUCCUUCUAGCUCUGACGCAAGAAUAUGCUGCACCCGGAACCACUACACCACUCGACUCAGGAAUCGGCUCUGGAAGGUUAAGCCAAAGGACCGAGAUCGGCGACCAGCACCACCGGAAGCGAGCCGCUCCCACGGCCACACCGCCCGAGCGACCACACCAGCGUCAGCCGCCCCAGCCAGCGCCGAGACGCCGCCAGCGCGCCCCCAUCACCAUCGCAUUCCCUCCUCCCCUCCUUCUUUUCGGACUUUUCUCUGCUUUUUCACUUCUUUCCUUUCUCUUCUGUCCUUUGCUCAGCAGGCUCAGGCCCCCGGGACCCCGUGUCCCCACACCCCCCGAUUCAAUUUGCACUAUAAGUCGUUUGCACUGGUUGGGGUCCCGGCCCCGGCCCUGAGCCCCUGGGCGUGUGUGUGAGCAACUGCUGAGUGUGCCCGGCCCCCUAUGGCCGGUGCCGCCCCCGCGACCCCCCACCCGUCCACUGGGGGUAACCGGGUGCGGCAGCGUGUGGGGCCCUGCCCCCCCCUCGCCUAGUCUGGAAGCUCCGAACACCUGGAGCCACCCCAAGCAUCCAUUGUGCAUCUCGCCUGGGUCCCUCCUCACCAGGGCUUCACCAGAAGUCCUGGACUCAUCA
Long non-coding RNA from Pteronotus mesoamericanus, 1056 nucleotides. RefSeq lists it as uncharacterized. NCBI's taxonomy places the organism in Eukaryota, Metazoa, Chordata, Mammalia, Chiroptera, Mormoopidae. The transcript is spliced from 5 exons. The record is from RefSeq and is a predicted model, not a curated record.